This 1162-nucleotide long non-coding RNA is filed under the name Oryza sativa (Asian cultivated rice). RNAcentral describes it as "long non-coding RNA (OSAT_LNC000088)". The record is from RNAcentral. Lineage: Eukaryota; Viridiplantae; Streptophyta; Magnoliopsida; Poales; Poaceae.
GUAGACAUACGCUCCGCUUGUUGAAUAAGUACGGUGUACGGCCACCUCGCCGUCGCGGCCACGGCCCCUCUCCUCGGCGAGCACGCCGCCGCCCGCGGCGGCGGGAUAUCCCCUGUAGAUGACCACACGGUGAUCGUCUCCGCCGGCCCGGGACGACUUCCACGGCGAGCCAGGUGAAGCGGGUGAGGAUUCUCUCGGCCUCGGCCUCGGCCAACCCAUCCCCAUCUGAUUUUACAGUUCAUUGUUACCGCAUCAUUCUGUUUGCUGCACCUGCGCUCUCUGCUACUCUGCUGCUGGUCCGACUGUUUCUGCGCAGGAGAUUUGGGAUUUCCAGCAGAUUACACGAGUAUGCUUCAAAUUUCUCAUCAUGUUGUGCUAAUGGGGUACAGCCUGAUUAGCAAUGGGGGUACACUUGUUUGUGUAAAUUGGGAUUAGAUCCGAAUCCAAUCCGAUUUCUAGGGAGGUUGAGAUUUAUGAAAUGAUAUUCAUCUAGAAUCAAGUUCUUAGAGGGAAAUGUUGUGAUUCAAUGGGAAAAGGGGAAAUAGUGGAGGAGAGCUCAUAGCCUGAUAGUCAGAUUUUUUGCAAGAAUGUGUACAUGCUACAGAAUGGAUUAUUGCCGGCCGUUUGGAUGUUCCUCUGGAUCACCGACAAUUUCAUAUGGGUGUUCCUCUGGAUACAAUGGGUACAUCCCUUUUAUGUCAUGUUUUUAGGAAUGUGGUAGCAGGCUAGCGGCGCUGGUGCAAUACAGUUAGGAGGGUCAGGAGGGUCUUUGUUUGUCCUUCUACAAGGUGACACAACAAGAUCUAACAAACUUCAUGUCCAGCAGAUCGCGUGUCAACAAAAGUGCACAUCUUGUGGAGCCAGAAAGUGCAUUUGGUGGAUAAAGCUUUUUUUGCCAGCUAGCCCCUGUAUCAGUUAUAGAUUGCUAAUAUUUGCAUGUGAAUGCACUGGUAUUUAUCAUGACUCUCAAUCUUCUUACAAAAACAAUCCAUUACUUAAUUUUUGAUACGGGAAACAAUCUGACACUGAUACAAUCUGUCAAAUGCAUUUGGUUUAUUGUAGAUUUUCUUGAGGCAAAUGACGUAAUGAUGAAGCCUUGAUCCACAAUCUAGUGAUGUGGCAGAUAAUGUAGACGACAGGAGAAACUAUUGGAUGGUUUUUA